This is a long non-coding RNA of Lagenorhynchus albirostris (white-beaked dolphin), 1171 nucleotides long. RefSeq lists it as uncharacterized. Lineage: Eukaryota; Metazoa; Chordata; Mammalia; Artiodactyla; Delphinidae. The record is from RefSeq and is a predicted model, not a curated record. The transcript has 4 exons.
UCUCACUCACCAAAGUAAUCGGCCUUCGGGUGAGCAUCCAUCUCACGCUCCAGACGUUGGGUGAGGGCUUCUAACUUCAAUUCGGCAGCCGUGGGUCCAAGCUCAGGGCCCGGGAGGAGGGUCUGGCAAGGCAGCCUCACCCUGGGGGAACCGGGGCUCUCUGGGAGCACAGGCCCCAGGCUGCCAUCAGAGGACCAGCCAGAGGGACUUUCUUUACAAGAUAACUCAGGCAAGGUAGACAUCACUGGAUGGACAAGGCUGAGCUUGGGACCAACGCCAGGGUCUGUACAGCCAGGCUUGGGACCCGGCCCAGGGACUGCACCCAGCUGCAUAUUGUCCAUGCUGGCUGGCGAGGAUGAAGGGGCAGAGCUAGAAAGUCCUCAGGUCUCCACUCAACACUCACUCCCCUGGGAAGUCUGGAUGCCCCUCUAUCCAUCCCCAUCCCUACCUGCCACCACAGUGAACGGCUGUCUCCUCAUCAGGAUGCCAACUUCACAAGGCCACAGGUCUUUGCAUAUUAUGUUCAUCGCUAUAUCCCAGGAGCCUAGAACAGUGCCUGGCACUGUUCCCCAAAUGCUUGAUGGAGAAACAGAGGCUCACAGAGGUUAAGUAAAUUGCCCAAGGACGCACAGCUGAAAGGAAGGACUUCCCUGGUGGCGCAAUGGUUAACAAUCUGCCUGCCAAUGCAGGGGACAGGGGUUCAAUCCCUGGUCCUGGAAGAUCCCACAUGCUGUGGAGCAACUAAGCCUGUGCGCCACAACUACUGAGCCUGCGCUCUAGAGCCCGCGAGCCACAACUACUGAAGCCUGCAUGCCUAGAGCCCGUGCUCCACAACAAGAGAAGCCACCACAACGAGAAGCCCGUGCACCGCAAUGAAGAGUAGCCCCAGCUUGCCACAACUAGAGAAAGCCUGCACACAGCAAUGAAGACCCAAUGCAGCCAAAAAUAAAUAAAUAAAUAAAUAAAUUUAUUUAAAAAAGAAAAAUAAAUACCAAAGAAAAUUCUUUAAGCCAACAGGAAAUUAUCUCAGACUGAAGGCCAGAUCUGCAGGAAGAAUCAAUAAUAUAAGAAAUGGUAAGUAUUUGGGUAAAUAUAAAAGACUAUUUUUUUUUGUUUUUAAAGCAAAAAUAAUAAGCAAUUUGUGUGGGAUUUAUAACAUAUGUAUAAAUAA